RNAcentral lists this ribosomal RNA (467 nucleotides) under uncultured bacterium. RNAcentral's name for it is "partial 16S ribosomal RNA". It matches the Rfam family "Bacterial small subunit ribosomal RNA", at positions 28 to 507 of the family's 1533-position model. The record is from RNAcentral.
GAUGAACGCUGGCGGCGUGCUUAACACAUGCAAGUCGAACGGAAAGGCCCAAGCUUGCUUGGUUACUCGAGUGGCGAACGGGUGAGUAACACGUGGGUGAUCUGCCCUGAACUUCGGGAUAAACCUGGGAAACUGGGUCUAAUACCGGGUAGGACCACAUUUUGGGUGGUGUGGUGGAAAGUUUUUCGGUUUUGGUGUAGCUCGCGGCCUAUCCGCUUGUUGGUGGGGUAAUGGCUUACCAAGGCGGCGACGGGUAUCCCGCCUGAUAGGGUGUACGGCCACAUUGGAACUGAGAGACGGCCCAGACUCCUACGGGAGGCAGAAGUGGCGAAUAUUGGACAAUGGGAGCACGCCUGAUGCAGCGACGCCGCGUGGGGGUUGAAGGCCUUCGGGUUGUAAAAUCCUAUCGCUAGGGACGAAGCGUUUUUGUGACGGUACCUGGAGAAGAAGCACCGGCUAACUACGUG